CCUACGGGUGGCAGCAGUGGGGGAUAUUGCACAAUGGGGGGAACCCUGAUGCAGCGACGCCGCGUGGGUGAAGGAGCGUUUCGGUGUGUAAAGCUCUAUCAGCAGGGAAGAAGAUGACGGUACCUGACUAAGAAGCCCCGGCUAACUACGUGCCAGCAGCCGCGGUAAUACGUAGGGGGCAAGCGUUAUCCGGAUUUACUGGGUGUAAAGGGGUCGUAGACGGCUAUGCAAGUCUGAAGUGAAAGCCCAAGGCUCAACCACGGGACUGCUUUGGAAACUGUAUGACUGGAGUACAGGAGAGGCAAGCGGAAUUCCUAGUGUAGCGGUGAAAUGCGUAGAUAUUAGGAGGAACACCAGUGGCGAAGGCGGCCUACUGGACUGUAACUGACGUUGAGGCUCGAAGGCGUGGGGAGCAAACAGGAUUAGAUACCCGAGUAGUC
This 440-nucleotide ribosomal RNA is filed under the name uncultured bacterium. RNAcentral's name for it is "partial 16S ribosomal RNA". It matches the Rfam family "Bacterial small subunit ribosomal RNA", at positions 338 to 795 of the family's 1533-position model. The record is from RNAcentral.